AAAAGGGAAGAGAAAACCCUCGACGUUCUCUGGGCAGGCCACGGGCGCUAUGCUCCGCCUCUCGCGGAGAGAAAACCUACUCCUCCCUGACCGACCGACUGACCGACCGACUGACCGACCGACCGCCGUCCUGGGGCUCCAGCCUUUGAAUCCCAACUUAAGCAACUCAAAUAAGACAACGUCUUGAAUAGUAAAACUAAUUGGUGUCACUGAAUUGGAUCGAGAGGCCUGAGGCUCCUGUGUUACCUUCUGAGAAAAAUCCACAUCCACCACUGCCACGGAAAUGGGACAGAGACCUAGAUUUUGACUCUCUUUUUUGGAAAGGAAAACAGAUCAAGACGCACAAAGGUCCAAGUGGCCUCUAUUGUCCAGGAACACAAGGCCAGGUGUUGGGGACAGGAGUUGGACCAGGAGGAGUGGCUGGAGCGGAAGAGAGGAGGAGGACUUGGAGCUGGGCGGCCCAGAGGGCAGAAUCUGCACUGCCACAGACGCAGUUCCCAGGAGUCUGAGCCCCGUGAAGUCCAGCAGUGAGUUUAGGAUAAAUAAUCUGCCCACAGGCAGAGGCAGGAGGAUGAGCAGAUUCUAGAGGCCUUCCCCAAGGGACGACUCUCCUGGGGGACUGUCUGGAGGACCAGCCGGGGAGCCAGCCGAACUUCCAGACAUUGUGGGGAACCAUCUUAUUGAUUCUGCCCAAAGCAGGGAGUAAGCAGUGCAGGCUGUAAAGAGGUGACUCUGCAGUUGGCUCAUUUUAAGAAGCAAAUCUGAUUAAAGCUUAUGUGACUCACAGAAGCACCGCAUAAGCACCAUGGUAGCACGUAAGUUAGCAUGAGCCUCCCGCUAAUGCCACAGCAGAGACCAGAGUAAUGGCCCAUGAAGCUCUGGGGCUCAAGAUGAGAUAACAUAGGAGGAGAGGCUGGAGUAGCUUCCACCCAAAGUCCACUCCCACGACUAAAACCUUCUAACCUACAAGGACAAGGUUCUAAUUGCAACGCUGUAUUUUGUCUGUCCUGUUCCUAAUUUGAGAAUGCUUUGUCUUUUCCUUUACAAGCUUUGCCUGCAUAGUAUCCAUAGCAACUGUGGAGCUGCACAUCCUCAUGCAUAGCUCCCCUUUAC
Molecule: long non-coding RNA, 1113 nt
Filed under: Heterocephalus glaber (naked mole-rat)
Lineage: Eukaryota; Metazoa; Chordata; Mammalia; Rodentia; Bathyergidae
Description: lncRNA (ENSHGLG00000048852.1)
Source: RNAcentral